CCUACGGGAGGCAGCAGUGAGGAAUAUUGGUCAAUGGACGAGAGUCUGAACCAGCCAAGUAGCGUGAAGGAUGACUGCCCUAUGGGUUGUAAACUUCUUUUAUAUGGGAAUAAAAUGUUCCACGUGUGGGAUUUUGUAUGUACCAUAUGAAUAAGGAUCGGCUAACUCCGUGCCAGCAGCCGCGGUAAUACGGAGGAUCCGAGCGUUAUCAGGAUUUAUUGGGUUUAAAGGGAGCGUAGGUGGAUUGUUAAGUCAGUUGUGAAAGUUUGCGGCUCAACCGUAAAAUUGCAGUUGAAACUGGCAGUCUUGAGUACAGUAGAGGUGGGCGGAAUUCGUGGUGUAGUGGUGAAAUGCUUAGAUAUCACGAAGAACUCCGAUUGCGAAGGCAGUUCACUGGACUGCAACUGACACUGAGGCUCGAAAGUGUGGGUAUCAAACAGGAUUAGAUACCCCUGUAGUC
RNAcentral lists this ribosomal RNA (460 nucleotides) under uncultured bacterium. Its description in RNAcentral is "partial 16S ribosomal RNA". It matches the Rfam family "Bacterial small subunit ribosomal RNA", at positions 338 to 795 of the family's 1533-position model. The record is from RNAcentral.